AACGGCCGUACCAUGCUGAAUAUACCGGUUCUCGUUAGAUCACCGAAGUUAUUAAGCAUCAUUGGGCGCGGUCAGUACUUGGGUGGGUGACCACCUGGGAACACUGCGUGCCGUU
This is a non-coding RNA of Caerostris darwini, 115 nucleotides long. NCBI's taxonomy places the organism in Eukaryota, Metazoa, Arthropoda, Arachnida, Araneae, Araneidae. The record is from the annotation of a GenBank genome assembly.